Molecule: non-coding RNA, 227 nt
Organism: Lactuca sativa (garden lettuce)
Lineage: Eukaryota; Viridiplantae; Streptophyta; Magnoliopsida; Asterales; Asteraceae
Source: RefSeq, a predicted model, not a curated record
AGGUCAGACACGGUACUUCUAGGACCGAACAACCAGUAUCUCCCUAAAAAAUUUUCUGUAUUUGCUGAGGUCUUGUUGAUGUGCAUAGUGUCAAGCAAAGUAGCUCGGAUGUUGUGAAGGUGGGCAACAAGUUAUUGUAGUUCAACUAUUAUUUGUUGAUGACUUUCAUCUCUUUCACAUUUGAUGUAUUACAUUUGUCUACUAUUGGAAUGAUUAUUUGUAUGACA